UACGUAGGUGGCAAGCGUUGUCCGGAAUUAUUGGGCGUAAAGCGCGCGCAGGCGGUCCUUUAAGUCUGAUGUGAAAGCCCACGGCUCAACCGUGGAGGGUCAUUGGAAACUGGGGGACUUGAGUACAGAAGAGGAAAGCGGAAUUCCACGUGUAGCGGUGAAAUGCGUAGAGAUGUGGAGGAACACCAGUGGCGAAGGCGGCUUUCUGGUCUGUAACUGACGCUGAGGCGCGAAAGCGUGGGGAGCAACAGGAUAGAUACC
RNAcentral lists this ribosomal RNA (261 nucleotides) under uncultured bacterium. Its description in RNAcentral is "partial 16S ribosomal RNA". It matches the Rfam family "Bacterial small subunit ribosomal RNA", at positions 524 to 786 of the family's 1533-position model. The record is from RNAcentral.